Molecule: long non-coding RNA, 1235 nt
Filed under: Vulpes vulpes (red fox)
Lineage: Eukaryota; Metazoa; Chordata; Mammalia; Carnivora; Canidae
Description: lncRNA (ENSVVUG00000010066.1)
Source: RNAcentral
AACUACGCUACUCUAAAAGGACCAGUGUAUCUAAGUAAACAAUAUCACCACCAUGACAACCACCACCACGCAGUGUGUGUGUAUGUUUCUCUUGCACACUCUCCUUCCUAGGGCUUGAAACAGCCUCAUCAGUAUGAUGAUUUUCAUCUUGACUAUGAUAUGUCUCUAAGAUAUGACAAAUAAACACAACAUUCCACAAUUAGAUUUUUGUUUUCUUACAGAUGUCUGAAAUCAUCAAGGUACUCAAAUAGCACCACUAGUUCUGAGCUCCUAAAUUAUUUCUGACAUAAAAAGUAUACAAGAGUAAAUAGUAAGAUUUAUCUCAAAAUGCAUAAACAUGCACAGGAAUGACAGAAGAUUGAAAUAGAGAGAAACAACAACAGGAUUGGGUCUUCUGCUAAGAUUGAUGAAUUAUUCCACCAAAGCCUUAUUGAUCUACUCCUAUUAAGUAGGCAGAUCUGAAUUACUGCUGAGAAAGCACUGUGGCUCAUCAAUAUCAAAAUGACAAUUCAGCCUCAGAAACACUUAAAAAGAACAGAAAAAUAUUUAAUAUUUGCAUGAAUCCUGUAGUAAAUGCAUCAUCUGUUGACUAAAAUUUGAUUCUUUUUUGCUUCGGGGUAAAAGAUUGCAUCAGGCAAAUUGAUUAUAAAAAUCCUUUUUUUAGAGGACAAGAAAGGGGAAAAAAGGAAUACCUUUUAACUUACUGGAAUCAGAUACAAACCAAGAGUGUAUGAACAAUUAUUCAGGCUAAACCCAUGUCUUGAAAGGAUUGAAGAAUCCUUUUUUUAAUUUCUGCCCAAAAUGUGGCUAGAUGACAAAACAGGAGACAGAAUGCAACUUGCAGACUUCAUGCUCUGACCCUGAAGGGGCUCCUCUUGCUGUGGAUAAUCAUUCCCAGUGCGUAGAACCAGGUAUCCUGUCUACAUGAAGAACUAUGUUGAGCUUUCCCAUAAGUGUUGCCAGCCUCGGACAACUAAAUUAUGGGAAUUACAGUGCCUGAAUGAAUAUGGAAUUCAUUUCACAGAAGAGGAAUUGGAGGCCCAAAGAGGUGAUGUGUUUUGCCCAAUUUUACUCAGCUAAUAGGCACAAAGACAGAAUGACAUUCCAGAAUCUCUGCCUCAAAGUUCGACCCCUUUAGAAAUCUAUAACACUGUAUUUGUUUCCAAAAAGAACACAUGGCAUUCAGAAAGAUAGGGGCCAAUACAAUUCUCUGCUGAGCAAUAUUUUGAGCCUGA